GAUGAACGCUGGCGGCGUGCUUAACACAUGCAAGUCGAACGGUGAAGCAGGAGCUUGCUCUUGUGGAUCAGUGGCGAACGGGUGAGUAACACGUGAGCAACCUGCCCCUGACUCUGGGAUAAGCGCUGGAAACGGCGUCUAAUACUGGAUAUGUGAUGUGACCGCAUGGUCUGCAUCUGGAAAGAAUUUCGGUCGGGGAGGGGCUCGCGGCCUAUCAGCUUGUUGGUGAGGUAAUGGCUCACCAAGGCGUCGACGGGUAGCCGGCCGGAGAGGGUGACCGGCCACACUGGGACUGAGACACGGCCCAGACUCCUACGGGAGGCAGCAGUGGGGAAUAUUGCACAAUGGGCGGAAGCCUGAUGCAGCAACGCCGCGUGAGGGAUGGCGGCCUUCGGGUUGUAAACCUCUUUUAGCAGGGAAGAAGCGAAAGUGACGGUACCUGCAGAAAAAGCACCGGCUAACUACGUGCCAGCAGCCGCCGUAA
Molecule: ribosomal RNA, 484 nt
Filed under: uncultured bacterium
Lineage: Bacteria
Description: partial 16S ribosomal RNA
Rfam family: Bacterial small subunit ribosomal RNA
Source: RNAcentral